RNAcentral lists this ribosomal RNA (269 nucleotides) under uncultured prokaryote. RNAcentral describes it as "partial 16S ribosomal RNA". It matches the Rfam family "Bacterial small subunit ribosomal RNA", at positions 524 to 792 of the family's 1533-position model. The record is from RNAcentral.
GACGGAGGUGGCAAGCGUUGUUCGGAUUUAUUGGGCGUAAAGGGUGUGUAGGCGUCCCGUUAAGUCGUAUGUGAAAGCCUUUGGCUCAACCAAAGAAUUGCAUACGAAACUAACAGGAUUGGGUACAAAAGAGGAGAAUGGAAUUCCCGGUGUAGAGGUGAAAUUCGUAGAUAUUGGGAAGAACACCAGUGGCGAAGGCGAUUCUCUGGUUUGAUACCGACGCUGAAACACGAAAGCUAGGGGAGCAAACAGGAUUAGAUACCCCAGUA